AGUGCCGGUGGUCCAUGUGCUGCCGGAUGAGGGUGUGCGGGGCCACCGUCCCAUACUUGUCCACCUCGGGCAUGUUCAUGUCGUCGAUGAAGUAGACGAGCUUCUUAGUGCCUGGCGGCCCGUAGUUCCUCCCCGAUUUCUUCUCCAGCGGCUUCUCCAGCACCCCUAGAGAGGGCAGAGGGUCAGCUGCCCGCCUGCGCCUCCUGAGCCAGAGCCUGUUAGGUAGGGAGGGGCGCUACCUGCUUCCCCGGAGGACAGAAGGUGGGACCUGGCUGGGAUCCAAGUUUACCAAAGGUACCUGCCCUGGGAGUGGCCCUUGAGGGGGCACCGGGUACAGCCCCAGGA
This 345-nucleotide long non-coding RNA is filed under the name Homo sapiens (human). RNAcentral's name for it is "HSALNT0391914". Lineage: Eukaryota; Metazoa; Chordata; Mammalia; Primates; Hominidae. The record is from RNAcentral.